RNAcentral lists this unclassified non-coding RNA (4073 nucleotides) under Anneissia japonica. RNAcentral describes it as "uncharacterized LOC117100452, transcript variant X1". Lineage: Eukaryota; Metazoa; Echinodermata; Crinoidea; Comatulida; Comatulidae. The record is from RNAcentral.
CAAACAAACCGAGCGGCAUAGCUUAUAGCGCGCGCUCUCCGAUUCUUCUCUCACUAUGCAUUUCCUACCGGACGUUCCAAUACCGUAGUAUCGCAAAGUUUUUCGCAAAUCUGCUCUAUAACUCUAGUCUAGUGUUUGAUUUCGCUCGGAGAGACGCAGUGGUGAUGAUGCCGUCGAGUCGGGUAAUUGAGAGACCGUCUAGGCAUAGAGGCCCGUAUAAACGGUAUCUAACUAAAACCCAAGUUGAUCCGAUACCAAGAACCAGUCAUUCGUUGAAGAGAUUCAAAGACAACAUUGUUGAUGACCAACAAGACCAGUUACUGCUGCAGCAGGAUGAUGAGGAAAGAGGAAGAGGUGGAAGAGAUGCAGAAUGUGGUGAAGCAGACAUUGAGAGUGCCAUUCUAUCCGAUUGUAACUCAGUACUGGUCAAUGAUGAGCAUGGUACAGAAAAAUUUGAGGAAGAUAUAAUUAUGUCUGAUGACGAAGACUCAAUAUGGUUAAAUUGUGGACGCUAUGUAGAGCAUGGUACAGGACAGUUUGAGGGAGAUAUUAUGUCCGACGAUGAAGACUUGAACUCAAUAUUGUCAACUGACAGUUAUGAAGAUGAUGUCAAUGAUGAAGGUGCCGAUCCUAAUCAUCAUGGAGGUGUACCACCUGAGGACAAUGAGCCACUUAUUCCAGGAUCAGAUGUGACAAAAUCACAGAGUCUGCUCUUAUUGUUAGCAUUCUCUUUGAAACAUUGUUUGUCGAAGGAAUGCAUGAAAGACCUCCUCGAUUUGCUGAAUACAUUUUUUCCUGGUGUAUUUCCAGCAUCAAAUUAUUUAUUUUUUAAGAACUUUACAGAUUACAAGGAAGUUGUCAAGAUCCAUUUUUAUUGUAGACGCUGCUUGGCCUACAUACAAGAGAAAGACCACUGUGCUGGUAUUACCUCAUGCCCAGAUUGUGGUGAAAGCUUCAUGCCUGAUGUGAAAAAGGGACACUUUUUUCUUUCAUUGUCUAUUAAACAGCAGAUAAAGCAUAUACUUGAAGUAGAAUCUCUGGGUGAAAACCUUAUUGACAGAAAUUUAAUUGAGGGAGAUGAUUUAAAAGAUGUCACUUUUGGGCAACAGUACAGACAGCUAUGUCAAAAUGCAAGAUUUGGACCAAACGAUUUGACCAUUCAAUGGAACUGUGACGGAGCACCAGUCUUUAAGUCAAGUGACUAUGCUAUAUGGCCUCUACAUUGCCUAAUAAAUGAGUUGCCUGCAAAACUUAGAACACAACAUAGGUUCUUAGCAACUUUGUGGUUUGGCAACUUAAAGCCAAGAGCGGAUACCUAUUUAAAAGCAUUCGUUGAUGAAAUGGAACAUCUUGGAGUGGAGGGUUUCACUUGGAGCGAUGGUAAUAUAAUGAAACGUUCCAGAGUGGUUACAGCUGUUUGCAUUGCAGAUACAAUUUGUAGACCAAUCAUAAGAAAUUGUGUACAAUUCAACGGAGAGUAUGGUUGUGAUUGGUGUUACCACCCAGGCUCUGUGACAAAAAGAGGGAGAGGGCAUACACGAGCAUACCAACAAGAAGUCCACGAGAUGAGAGACGCUGUUACUCAUCAAGAACAUUCUUUUCAGGCACUAGAUCGCAAUGAAAGGGUAUUUGGAGUAAAUGGACCCUCGCCGUUGAUGUUACUGCCAAAAUUUGACAUUAUUCUAGGAUUUGCACCAGACUACAUGCAUGCAGUUCUGCUAGGUGUGUAUAAACAGUUUGUGCAGUUGUGGAUGUCAUCAAAUAAUCAUCAAUCACCAUGGUACAUAGGAAAGAGCCUUGGGGUACUUGAUAGGCGUUUGUUAUCUAUCUGUCCACCAUCUGAAAUAACUAGACGCCCACGAUCAUUGCGGAUGCGGAAAUUUUACAAGGCCAAUGAAUGGAGAUCUUUUCUAUUGUAUUAUUCAAGUGUUAUCCUUGAAGGGGUACUGCCUACACAGUACAAACGGCACUGGGAUCUGCUUGUUGCUGCCAUGCACAGCCUUCUGCAAGAUAAUAUUAAAUAUGAAGAAAUAGAUAGGGCUGAGGCACAAAUCCAGCAGUUUACUAGAAAGGCAGUAGUGCUUUAUGGUCUAGAACACAUGACCUUCAACGUACAUCAAUUGGAGCACCUACCUGGUUGUGUGCGAAGAUGGGGACCGCUGUGGGCAACAUCCGGCUUUGUGUUUGAAGCACAAAAUGGUGUUCUCUUGAAGUUUUACAAAGGUACCCAAUAUGUUCCCCAGCAAAUAUAUGAUCAUUAUGUGUUGAAACAGAGUUUAAGGGAUGCAGAAUCAAAGAAAACAAUGCUAGGGGCAUCGCAGUCAGUUGAAAUGAUGUUUUCAAAGCUUACUACAAAUAAAAAGUUCCCUAGAGGUCAUGUGCACAUUACAAAGGAUGUUGUUGUCUGUGGUGUGGCGAAGUACAGGGAGCUUAGGCCAUCUGAGCAAUUAGCAAUUGAAACUCACCUAGGUAAAAUGGUAGGCAGAAAGAGAGUUCAGCUUUACAACAGGUUCAUUGUGAAUAACACUAUGUAUCAUUCCACAAGCUACAGUAGGGCAACAAAAUCCAUCAAUACUACAUUCCAAGAGAAAACCGGCACAUUAUGGGAGAUUAACUGUCUUGUGGCAUGGAAAGACUGUGAACAUGUUGGGUUCUGCAAUUGUCUGCAAAACAUAGUUGUUCUCGCAAAACAGUUGAAGCCGCUGUCAUCAUCAAACAGAAUCCAGGAGCGGUAUAUCAAGCUUGUAAAAAAACAUUUCAUCAGGGCUUUCGAUGCAAAGGACAUAAUCAGAAAGGCGGUCCAAAUGAAUGUGGCGGGGAAAAUGUAUGUAGCACCCUUGCCAAAUAAACUUGAAUGCGAUUAAAAAUAUUACAACGGAGGACAGGGCAAUUUUUGUUAUUCAACCUUCACCAGCAAGAGCAUUUCAACCUGUGUCAUCCGGACUUACCAAGCUUUCUGGGGUGUGACCAAGUCAAUACCAAUGUCCUCAAUGAGCAGAAGGUUUUCACCAGACACAGCAGGAAACAAAUCUUGAACAGAUAAGUACUUGAUGAUAUUUGUAAAUUUGACAAAUUGUGGCAAAGACAAACCAAACCAGUCACUCGUCACAAAUCCCGUUUCAGAUAUAAUUGCCAAAACAUGCUGGAAUGUCAAAAUUUAUGAAAUCUAUUUUAUCAUAUUAAACUAACCUUUAUGUUGAUUUGGUGAUGGUUUCUGCCAGAGAAAAAAAUCAUUACCUUUGUGGGCUGUUUUUUCAUAUAUUGUUCUUUUAACAGCUGUAUGUUAAACUCCUGUUACUUCAUAACGAAAUGUAGGAUUUAAAUUAUUCUUUUACCACUUUAUAGUGCUCAUUUUACUGUUUAACCCUGUAUUUGUGACGAGUGACUUGUUUGGCUUGUCUUUUCCACGAUUAGUACAUAAAGGUUUUGGGAGUGCACCUCAAUAAUCAAAUAUUCACUCAUGUUUUAAUAGGUGGUAAGGUGGCUGCUGGGUUCCGUUGAAUCCGCCACUGUGGAGAAUAUUUUGGAGAACAAGUUUGACUAUUGUACAGACUUGGUUAACGCUGACUGGCCAAAUAUAAAUGUAAAAAAGAAGCUUGUGUAUGUCAUCACCCACUCGUAAAGAUGCUCAAACAAACUCAAAUAGCAAAGUAGCAACAAUCAUUUUAAGCAUUUUGUUUAUUAACUGGUUCGUUUUGUUAAUGUGAGGUAUAUUCCUGUCUAAUUCGAUCAUCAUUUUAAGCCCUUGGAGGGAUUGGCGACAGUGCAUCCAUGAGAGUUCAUUCUAGGUAUUGAGUUAACAAUAAUUUUUAGAAUAGCUGUGCCUGGGUGUAUCUCUUAAGUUGAGUCCUUUAUAGGACUGGCCGAUAUGCACUAUACCAAAGCUCAUUUUUUAAUGCAUUAUCACGAAGCUAGGGCUUAUUUUGUAUUUUUUUCUAAUACUAUUACACCCCACAAGUGAUUAUAGGCUAUACGAUAGACUUUUGUUUGUAGCAACAAGCGACUGAGCAUGACAGCGGUCUACUAGUAAACAAUAAAAUCAGUUUUAUUGGAAAAUUAAUUUGUGUACAGUG